AGCAGUCGCCACGGGAAUACAGAGGGUGCGAGCGUUAAUCGGAUUUACUGGGCGUAAAGCGUGCGUAGGCGGCUUUUUAAGUCGGAUGUGAAAUCCCUGAGCUUAACUUAGGAAUUGCAUUCGAUACUGGGAAGCUAGAGUAUGGGAGAGGAUGGUAGAAUUCCAGGUGUAGCGGUGAAAUGCGUAGAGAUCUGGAGGAAUACCGAUGGCGAAGGCAGCCAUCUGGCCUAAUACUGACGCUGAGGUACGAAAGCAUGGGGAGCAAACAGGAUUAGAUACCCCCGUAGUCCCUGUCUCUUAUAA
Molecule: ribosomal RNA, 303 nt
Filed under: uncultured bacterium
Lineage: Bacteria
Description: partial 16S ribosomal RNA
Rfam family: Bacterial small subunit ribosomal RNA
Source: RNAcentral